This 745-nucleotide ribosomal RNA is filed under the name uncultured fungus. Its description in RNAcentral is "eukaryotic LSU rRNA". It matches the Rfam family "Eukaryotic large subunit ribosomal RNA", at positions 38 to 633 of the family's 3401-position model. The record is from RNAcentral. Lineage: Eukaryota; Fungi.
GCAUAUCAAUAAGCGGAGGAAAAGAAAAUAACAAUGAUUCCCCUAGUAACUGCGAGUGAAGAGGGACAAGCUCAAAUUUUAAAUCUGUCGGGUUCUACCUGACCGAGUUGUAAUUUGAAGAGGCGUUUUCUGUGUUUCUGAUCAGUCCAAGUCCUUUGGGAUAAGGCAUCACGGAGGGUGAGAAUCCCGUUCGGUUGAUCAGAUUCGCUUUAUGAUACGUCAUCAAAGAGUCAAGUUGUUUGGGAUUGCAGCUUAAAAUGGGAGGUAAAUUUCUCCUAAGGCUAAAUAACGGCGAGAGACCGAUAGCGAACAAGUACCGUGAGGGAAAGAUGAAAAGAACUUUGAAAAGAGAGUUAAAUAGUACGUGAAAUUGUUGAAAGGGAAACGAUUGAAGCCAGUCGUACCUGCGGGUAAUCAGCCUUUUGGGCAUGAUUCUGUGGAGCGUGAGGAGUUAAACGCCUUCAUGCCUGCAUAUUCGUGUACUUUGGGUGUACUUGCCUGUGUGGUUAGUUAACAUCAAUUUUGGUUAUCAUAAAAUGGCUGGAGGAAUGUAGCUUCGAUUUCGAUUGAAGUGUUAUAGCCUUCGGCAGAUGUGAUGAUCGGGAUUGAGGAUUGCAACGGAUACCCUUCGGGGCUACCUGUCUGAUCUCUGAUCGUUGCUCUGGUGCCGAAAGCGUGCUUACGGUUAUCAAGGUCGAUGGUUAAUAGGUUAGAACGGGUUAAAUUCGUUAAGGAUGUUGACGUA